Molecule: long non-coding RNA, 674 nt
Organism: Lingula anatina
Lineage: Eukaryota; Metazoa; Brachiopoda; Lingulata; Lingulida; Lingulidae
Source: RefSeq, a predicted model, not a curated record
AGGUAAACCAGGUGAGCACUUUGCUGAGAGGUAUUCAGAUAGGACCUAGGUCAGUCGGAAAAGAAAGAAGCCUCACUGUUACAAGUUCCAUAUGUAGGCCGAAAUUCUGACACUGAAACUGCAGUAAUCUGUUGGAACUCAUUUGCCAAUAAAGAAGCAAGGAGACUAUUCCAGUUGCCCACAAACAUGAUAUUCCAUCUCAAACAAAGCAAGACGACAAGGCAGUGACUCUUAACUACCGUUUAUGAGAUUGGAUUCACCCCCAGCAAAGAUAUCAACUUCGUGUUCGACAGCGCCCGCACCCAUGUCAGAUUGUCUCGCUUGUCGAAGUUUGUUUUAUAGUUAAUAUUCAGGGUUGACAUUUGAUUUAGUUUGAAAUGUAAGGUUUGCUUUGGGUUGUAAUAUCAAAUGUGUAUCAAAUGAAGUGCAGCGUGUAACGAGUGUUUUAGUUAUGAAACUUCUGAUAAAAAUGGACUAAAUCCAAGCGUCAACCCUUCACGUCACUGGUUUAUUACUUGAGAUACGUAAAUAAGUUACAGCACAGCUCUCUAUUCACACCCAGUGUUUUUUAUUGUAAUUUGUUUAUAUUUUUUGUUUAUAACCACCAGUUCUCGAACCUGAAACGACACUUUUGGGAUGCUCUUCAAACAGAAAUAACGUCGCUGAAAUCAUUU